This 69-nucleotide transfer RNA is filed under the name Sapayoa aenigma (broad-billed sapayoa). Its description in RNAcentral is "tRNA-Arg". It matches the Rfam family "tRNA". Rfam says of the family: Transfer RNA (tRNA) molecules are approximately 80 nucleotides in length. Their secondary structure includes four short double-helical elements and three loops (D, anti-codon, and T loops). Further hydrogen bonds mediate the characteristic L-shaped molecular structure. tRNAs have two regions of fundamental functional importance: the anti-codon, which is responsible for specific mRNA codon recognition, and the 3' end, to which the tRNAs corresponding amino acid is attached (by aminoacyl-tRNA synthetases). tRNAs cope with the degeneracy of the genetic code in two manners: having more than one tRNA (with a specific anti-codon) for a particular amino acid; and 'wobble' base-pairing, i.e. permitting non-standard base-pairing at the 3rd anti-codon position. The record is from RNAcentral. Lineage: Eukaryota; Metazoa; Chordata; Aves; Passeriformes; Tyrannidae.
AGAAAGUUAGUCUAGCAAAGACAGUUGAUUUCGGCUCAACAGACCAUGGUAAAACCCCAUGACUUUCUU